RNAcentral lists this long non-coding RNA (275 nucleotides) under Olea europaea (common olive). RNAcentral's name for it is "long non-coding RNA (OEUR_LNC015387)". The record is from RNAcentral. Lineage: Eukaryota; Viridiplantae; Streptophyta; Magnoliopsida; Lamiales; Oleaceae.
UAGAAAGCGGCAAAAAGAAGCGGCGGACGAUGGAGGCUGUUGUUCCGAUUUCUCCUCCCCGGCGGUGCUUGAAGAACGCCAGCCAGCCAGAGACCACAUCUAUGGAUUUAUCUGCAUCGCCAUCAUCGUCUAGGAUUUAUCUGCGUCGCCACCGCCACCUCAAAUUCCACAAGAUGGCUAUGAAAUUGUGCAGUUCAACUUCUCAAUUUUCACACAUUUCUGUGGGGGAAAUGAGUUGGUGAAUUAAACGAUUUCGUAGUUGGUGUGGAAUUAAA